AAAUGUGUUUCGUUUCCUGCUGUCUGCGUGCCAAGUGAAGGACGAGCUGACUGAAGUCAGCAGGGCUAUCCUAAUGCUUCAAAUCACGCUCCUUUCUGUAUCUACCAAUGCUGAUCAUAUCCUCUUACGUAUGUUUAUCUACAUGACUGUUUCUUCUCCACUGUAGGUCAACACUGAUACCUUGGGCACAUACUGAGUAUUUCUUUUGGGUUCUUGCCUACUGGUGCUGGAGCAGCCCAUCCGCCUGGGCUUUUCCAGAGGAUAAUGCUUUUGGUGAUGCUCCUAGCAGAGGUACUCUGUGAAGAUGAAGCCCUUAAGCCAACACCAGGAAAAGAUCACUUGUUUCUCCCACCCCAAUGAGGUGUUCCAAGUGCAGCGGAUGGGUCAAGCUCAGGCCAGUUGACAGCCUCCCUCUCACCUCAGGGACUGCUGCUCAGCAAAUUCUACAGACCAGCCUGUUUCACUCCACUAAUAGCAUUCACUGAAGGUGUUGAAGGGGGAAGCGACAGUCUCUGCCAUAAGUUUCCAUGCUCUUGUGGUGGUGUUUGAGCUCACAGCAACAGAAAGGAGCUGCCAGCGCUGGAGCCACUUGUUUCUCCUGUCCAGCCCAUAUCUGCAAAGUGGGUAGCACUGCAAGUAGUAGUAAGCAAGUAUGACAUGAUGCUUUGCUGUUCCUCAUUCCCUUUAGUGUGUGGAUACAACCCAGAGCACUGACUGAUGCCCUCAGGCAGGCGUUAACUUGGUAGACGCAUACACCUUGCUGCCAAGAAACCAUUUAUAAAUAGAUUUUAUUUAUAAAGUCAAUUUACAUAAAAUAUGAUACUCUUUUUAAAAACUGCAUAUGUACGACUUAAGAAAU
Molecule: long non-coding RNA, 859 nt
Filed under: Coturnix japonica (Japanese quail)
Lineage: Eukaryota; Metazoa; Chordata; Aves; Galliformes; Phasianidae
Description: lncRNA (ENSCJPG00005018585.1)
Source: RNAcentral